RNAcentral lists this ribosomal RNA (270 nucleotides) under Aeromonas rivipollensis. RNAcentral's name for it is "partial 16S ribosomal RNA". It matches the Rfam family "Bacterial small subunit ribosomal RNA", at positions 331 to 593 of the family's 1533-position model. The record is from RNAcentral. Lineage: Bacteria; Pseudomonadati; Pseudomonadota; Gammaproteobacteria; Aeromonadales; Aeromonadaceae.
CCAGACUCCUACGGGAGGCAGCAGUGGGGAAUAUUGCACAAUGGGGGAAACCCUGAUGCAGCCAUGCCGCGUGUGUGAAGAAGGCCUUCGGGUUGUAAAGCACUUUCAGCGAGGAGGAAAGGUUGGUAGCUAAUAACUGCCAACUGUGACGUUACUCGCAGAAGAAGCACCGGCUAACUCCGUGCCAGCAGCCGCGGUAAUACGGAGGGUGCAAGCGUUAAUCGGAAUUACUGGGCGUAAAGCGCACGCAGGCGGUUGGAUAAGUUAGAU